Molecule: long non-coding RNA, 2529 nt
Organism: Eucalyptus grandis
Lineage: Eukaryota; Viridiplantae; Streptophyta; Magnoliopsida; Myrtales; Myrtaceae
Exons: 4
Source: RefSeq, a predicted model, not a curated record
UUUUCCCCUGAGUGCAGAAUUCGUUUGGAGAAAUGAUGGAAUUACUUGCUGCAACUGGCCAGCCUGCUUCAUUUACAUCAGAAGAUGGCUUGUUGGAAAAUGGUUAGCAUGACAAUUACUUUGAUUACUGUUUGUAUGGGACUAUAGACAUACCCAUUGGUAUGACUCAGAGGAAAAUCCAGCUAGCCAUUGAUUUGCACAGUCACAGGAUAUACAGAGGUUAAGAUGUGGGAUCCACCAAACGGUCAAACAACUUCCUAGCCAGGAUGGAAAGCAUAGAAACUUCGUUAGUUGAUCUGCCCGUGGGAUUCUGAUUCAGACCAACAGAUGAGGAACUUGUCAAUCAAUACUUGAAGACACUUGGCAACGAAACAGUUGAACAGAUAAUUCCCGAGGUUGAUGUCCAUCAAUUGCCAUCUUGGGAUUUACCUGGCAAGAUAAAUGAACUAUCAAGGAUAAAGUCAGAUGGUGAUGAAUGGUUCUUCUUCAGCUGUCUGCAAAAUAAGUACCCUCAAAGUAAACGGGCGAGAAGGACAUGACUAUGGCUCUUGGAAGCCAACGGGCAAAACUCACAAAAUCAGGACACAAGACAGGAAGAACACAUUAGGUCUGAAGAAAAUUUUGGUUUUCAAAAAACGUGAAAGUCCCAAAAUCAUACCAAAUGGGUACUGCAUGAAUACAGCAUCCUCAAUGACCAGGUACUCAAUCUUCUUGCUUUCCCUUCCUCUUGCAGUGAACUUUGGCACAAACCAUAUUUGAAUUAUUUAUGGAUACAUAUGUGUGAUUAAGGUCACUAAAUGAAUGUUCUCCAUUCCAGGAACUUUCAUUUCAGAGCCCUUCUGAUUUUAUUUUCUUCUCUGACAUAUUUUUUUGGAGUAGGUACUGAGCAACUUAUUUUUAGUUGCUCUGACUUCUGCUUCUAUUUUUUUCCCUGAAAUGAACUAAGCUCUUAUUAAACUUCUAUUGAUUGGCUUGCAGCUAACACAAUUUUACCAAGUAAAAUACCCUGACUUUUUCUUCUUUUGUUCUUCUUUUCUCUCCAAAUUUUGCUAAUGCUAUAGCUAUCAAUUGCACCAUUAACUCUAUUUUGAAGCUGAGCAAGGAUUCUCUUUUUAAAAGGGGUCUUAUAAGUUGAACACGGAGUGUUACCAAAGUUGUUAUGUUGACUGACAUUUGAUUCUUCGAGGUUGGUUUUAUUAUUCCUUUGGUAUUAAACCGCGAAGUACUUUCAGAGAUCAGUGAGUAGGCUUGAUUAAAUUGUUAACUUGUCUUUUGUCUUUCUAUAUCAGAGUGACUUCGUUCUUUACCACUUGAAGAAAAACCCUGAUGAGAAUGGUAAGAAAAAUUCAGACUGCUGCUUCUCAUUUCUCCUUUGCUUAAAAUCAUCUGUAAGGAGGAGGCCAAUUCCAUCAGCGAUUUCAGAAUAAGACCACAGAAAUUAUAAUAAUCUCGUUGAGCUAUUAGAAAGAAAAGGUAAACGCUUUGCUUUGAUGAAACUACUUUAAAAGCACUUCAAAAUGCCCUCUUACAUAAGAAAUCAUCCGGCAAUCCACAUGGUGAUCUUUGAUCAUUUCUUAAGAAUAUGAAUAUCACAAACAAGAUGAAUGAAGUCAUCUAAAAUCCCGUUCAUGAUGGUUCUAGGUGUGAUAGUUUCAGAAUCAGCAUGCUCGGACUCUGUAAAUCCUUGGUCGAUGAAUCGCAUGCAUUUCAAGGGGGUUUACUCAAUAAUCGUCUUGGAGGAUGAAGCGAGGAAGGCUCUCGCAAAGGAUCAAAAUCACUAUUACAGACUUGAGAGCGAGACGAAAUUCUAUUCUGACAUGUCUCUAAUUGUUAAAGCGUUUUUCGAGUUUGAGUCCAUACAUGCCCCAGGCGUUAAUGGUUCAAAUUGGAAGUUCUCUAUGGAAAAUGCAUUACUGCUUAUACAAAGAGAGAUGAUCAUGUGUGGAAGACCUAUAAACUUGUAAAGUGUUUGAUUCUCAACGAAUAAGAUGAGAGGGAAAACAAGAACGUGGUCAGUUACAAAUUAGAUUGUCUAGGCAAAAUAAGAUCAAAAAAAAAAAGUUGAUAAAUCUUGUCAUAAAUUUGAAAUUUAUCAUAUGUGAACUCUUGAGAUCUCUCUCAUUCAUAUUGCUAGUGCUGCAGCUGCCGGUAUGCAAAUUGGACAAUAAUCUUCACCUUGAGACAUUUUGCAAUGCAGCAGUAGCAAAAGCAAUGGCAGCAAUCCAACUUUCCGAGCCAAUCUUGAUCAAGGAAAGGCAUCCUGCAAUGAUGUUAGCAAAACCAAGACUAUGACGAGUGGUAGAUAUAUUCAAAUCAACCUAGAUUUGUCUUAAAAGUUAUGUACAGAUCAAAAAAUUUGCCAUUCUUCUUUUAUCUUGAUGUUUAUACAUAACAAAGCAACUCUUAUAAGUCAAAUACAAUAUGUUUUGGGCCUUGAAUUCUGUUGAUUAGAUGUGCUUCGGAGCACAUUUCUAGUUGUAUGCCCUUUUAUUUUUCUGAAUCCUUUAAUGCUCAAUGUAACUUCUGGAU